UACGUAGGGGGCAAGCGUUGUCCGGAAUCAUUGGGCGUAAAGCGCGUGUAGGCGGCUCGAUAAGUCUGCUGUGAAAGUUCAGGGCUCAACCCUGAAAUGCCGGUGGAAACUGUCGAGCUAGAGUCCGGAAGAGGUGAGUGGAAUUCCGGGUGUAGCGGUGGAAUGCGUAGAGAUCCGGAAGAACACCAGUGGCGAAGGCGGCCCGCUGGGCAGUGGCUGACGCUGAGGCGCGACAGCGUGGGGAGCAAACAGG
Molecule: ribosomal RNA, 253 nt
Filed under: uncultured bacterium
Lineage: Bacteria
Description: partial 16S ribosomal RNA
Rfam family: Bacterial small subunit ribosomal RNA
Source: RNAcentral